This 170-nucleotide small nucleolar RNA is filed under the name Lachancea lanzarotensis. RNAcentral's name for it is "Small nucleolar RNA snR8". It matches the Rfam family "Small nucleolar RNA snR8". Lineage: Eukaryota; Fungi; Ascomycota; Saccharomycetes; Saccharomycetales; Saccharomycetaceae. The record is from Rfam by way of RNAcentral.
GUGAUACGAAAUUAUAUUCGCCUUCUAUUCACUGUGCCAUCUGUAAUAUCCGUAGAUGAUCAGAGGGGAAAAGAACGGCCAGACGGAAAAUCGCCAGCGUCCUCAUACUGUCCGAAUCGAUAAAGUUUACUCUACUGGGUUCGGUCGGUAACUGCGCAAGCGAGACAACU